AUGUGGAAAAGUGGAAUGGAAAGUUAAGUUAGCGGUGAAAUGCCAGUCGAACUUUAUAUAUCUGGUUGUUUUUGAAGUAAAUUGAAUUUGACUUUAGUGAAAAAUUUCACUGGAGGUUCAUUUAAGGGGGAAAAGCUCCUUAAUUUUGUGUAUAAGAGUGUUUUUUGAUUAAUUAGAAUUAGGCUUAAGACCAGCCAUAUUACUACAACGUUUUAGUGCAUAGUUGUUUAUACAAAAAAUUUGUUUCUUUUUAUGGAAAGUAGGAAAUUAGGUGCAGAAAUGUGGGCUGUUCUGAAAAAAUGAUUGUAUUAGUAAAAUUUUUGUUAAAAGAAUUUAAAAAUCUAAAUUUGUAUAAUUUAAAUUUUGAGAGUUAUUUUUAAGGAAUUCGGCAAUUUGUGUGCCCACCUGUUUAUCAAAAACAUGUCUAUUGGGUUUAAAUCGAUAGUCUGACCUGCCCACUGAAUAUUUUAAAUGGCCGCGGUAUUUAGACCGUGCUAAGGUAGCAUAAUCAAUAGUCUUUUAAUUGGGGACUAGAAUGAACGGUUGGAUGAGGUACAAGCUGUCUGGCAAUUGUAAUUUUGAAUUUUACUAUUAAGUGAAAAGGCUUAAAUUAUUUAGCGGGACGACAAGACCCUAUAAAGCUUUUAUUUGUCUUAGUAUUUUAACUAUGAUAUUUUUGUGCUUAUGUUAAAAUUGGGGUCAAAUUAGGUUGGGGCGACUGGGAUAUAAAAGGUAACUGUCCUUAUGAUUAAAAUAAUGGUUUUUAGGUAGUUGAUCCUGUAAUAUGGGUUAAAAGAUUAAAGUUACUUUAGGGAUAACAGCGUAA
Molecule: ribosomal RNA, 826 nt
Filed under: Halocaridina rubra (Hawaiian volcano shrimp)
Lineage: Eukaryota; Metazoa; Arthropoda; Malacostraca; Decapoda; Atyidae
Description: partial 16S large subunit ribosomal RNA
Rfam family: Archaeal large subunit ribosomal RNA (bases 398-556)
Source: RNAcentral